This 201-nucleotide small nucleolar RNA is filed under the name Neogobius melanostomus (round goby). RNAcentral's name for it is "Small nucleolar RNA U3 (ENSNMLG00000009411.1)". It matches the Rfam family "Small nucleolar RNA U3". Rfam says of the family: Small nucleolar RNAs (snoRNAs) are involved in the processing and modification of rRNA in the nucleolus. There are two main classes of snoRNAs: the box C/D class, and the box H/ACA class. The record is from RNAcentral. Lineage: Eukaryota; Metazoa; Chordata; Actinopteri; Gobiiformes; Gobiidae.
GACCUUGAGCUUUUCUAUAGUUUAUGACUUGAGCAUUGCGUUUCCAAAGUGUAUGGUCUCGCUGACCAUGCUGAAGAGUUGGUGAUGCUCCUUCUUGAAUGUGAAGAAAGUAGAUACUUGGUUCAUCCAUGUUCUCUGCUACUGAUGACUGUUCACUGUUUCUUUUAGAGACGGUGAAGAAAGGAGUAUGAUGUCAGUGGG